Molecule: long non-coding RNA, 3691 nt
Organism: Marmota monax (woodchuck)
Lineage: Eukaryota; Metazoa; Chordata; Mammalia; Rodentia; Sciuridae
Exons: 8
Source: RefSeq, a predicted model, not a curated record
AUUUACCCGGGAGCGCUUUACCACUGAGCUACAUCCCCAGCCCAUUUUUUUUUUUUAUUGUUUGUUUGUUUUUGAGACAGGGUCUCACGACGUUUUUUAGGGUCUUGCUAAGUUGCUGAGGCCAAUCUCAAACUUGUGAUCCUCCUGGAUCAGCCUCUGGAGCCACUGAGACUACAGCUGACCAAGUCCAUGUAGGUAUAUUUCUGGACUCUAUUCUGCUCUAAUCUGGACUGCAUAUGUUUUAAGAACAUACUGUCUUGGUUACUACAGAUUUGUUGGAAAUAUUGAAAUCAGACAAUUCAAUUCAGCCUAAAGGAAGAAGCUUCUAGAAAGUUAAUCAAGCCUCCCAAUGAACUACAAUAGCUUUCAAGAUUCUCUUUCAGUGCAACAGUCCACAGCCUCGCUCCAUGCCCUGUGAGGCACAAUCUGGAAGAUAAGUCGGGAGCUGUUGCUCUUCUACCAAACCUCAGAGCUUUCUGGAGGUAUGAUGCCCCAGAAGUGUGUGAAAACCUCCUCCAGGUCACACUGCAACUUCGUUUAUUGCUUAUUACCAGACUGCCCUCCAUGUCAUUCUACAUUAAUGCUAAAGAGGAAAUUGCAGUCUCACACAGUGAUUGAAGGCACUGCUCCGGAGGACUACAUGAGGAAGGACUAUUAAAGAGGAAGAUAUGGCAAUUGGUGCAGAACACAGGCUCUGGAGCCAGACUGCCUGAGUUCAUGUCUUGACCUAACCACUUUCCAGCUAAGUGAACUUGGCUUCUUUACCUGGCUCCCUGUGUCUUAGCUUCCUCCUCUAAUAAAUGGAAACAUCCAUAACUACCUACAUUAUAGGAUUGUUGUAAAGAUUACAUGUAUUUAUACAGAUGAAGCAAUUAAAAUAGUGCCUAGCACAGGGGAAACACUCCAAAAGCAUUAGCUACCUUGUUUUGUCUCUUCAUUUUUCAUGCUGAAGUUGACUUACAAAUUCCCCAAAUUUAAUGUCCUAGUUUAGACACUCAAGUAAGCUAUUAUGUGUGCAUGAUGUUUUUUUUUUUUUAUUAAGUUUUCUUACCAUUGAAAAAUGUGUAUAUAACACCUGGACAUUGAAAAAAAAAAACAGGUGGCUUUUUAAAUAGCUUGGUAUUGUAGAGAAUUGUGACCCACUUACUUUUGGCCUGUUGAAUAGCCCAGCCUUUCAUACCCUAAGCUUAGAACAUAAGAAACGUCCCGCUGAGUUGUACCCUGCCUUCUGCAGCGCAACAUUGUAUCUUUGGCAAGAGAACUAGAAGAAAGCUCUAGAGAUAAUAUGGCUGCUCACCAUGUAUCCAAUCGAAGGCGUUGGGCUGGUAUACAGCAACCUAUGUACCUUCCCUCAGACCCACCACGGAUCAGUCAUUAUCUUCCCCAAUCCAUCUUAAAUCAUGUUACAUUUUAAGUCUAUUCCAACUUAUGAAGACAACAAGCUAAAUAGAUAUAUUACUUUCUUUUUCAUAUUUAUCCUUCAAACUACACUUUUAAUCUUCACUAAGUGUCUUUUUGUUCUGGAAUUCCAAAAUAAGGAAAUUAGUAUUAAAAUAAGAAAAAAGAAUCAUAUAAAUAAGACAUUCCAAACAUUUGUAAUAUUACUUUAAUAUUUCAGAUAUUUACUUCCUAAAGAACUUUAUUAAUCAUAUAAAUCCUGUAGGAAUAUUUGCUCCUGGGAGACUGAUUGCUCUCAUGAUUCUCAUUUGCAUCAAUGAACUUCUUUUCACCUGGCCAAUCAAUAUGGAAAACAUCUAUUUGUCACUCAUUUUUGGAAGUAUUUAGUGUUUGAUUCCUUGCAAGUGCCGGACGGAGGGCUUCAGUUUCCAGUCAACUGUUUGCCAGAGGCUGUCCUCAAUUUCUUGCAUGUGGCCCUUUUCAUGGACACCUUACCACAUGUCAGGUUGCGUUUUCAAAGCCAGCAGAGGAGACUCUUCUCACAAGAUAAGAUUACAAUCUUAUAUAAUCUUAUAGUUAUUGUGGCCUGUAGACGCAGGACUCUGCCCUCCUCACCAAGGGAUCACUGGAGAAGACUUCAGAAGCAUAGAUUGGUCACACACAUACAAAAAUGUUUUAAUGAAGCCAUCUCCUACAACAAUUGAGGAACCUUUCUUUCCAGACGUCUUGUGGUCUGUCCUCUGGGAACUGUGCACCUGUUGGAGAGAGCUGUUUUAUAUUGGGCAGUCCAGGACCUGGUUUUUCAAGCUAUCCACCAGCCAUGUAGCUGCACUGUGCCUGGUUAGUGGCUGCUGAAGACAGGGGGGAGUUGAGGACUUUCUGUACCUUGAUAUCACUUCUAAGCUCCAGCUGGUGUUCCAAGCUGGGAGUUGCCCCAACUAAAGAUGGCAAUGAAGGUGUCCCAAGAUGGAGGUGACUGCUUUCAGCAAUGGGAUGUCAGUUCAGGUGGGGACUGGCAGUGGUUUUGAGCAGCAUGUUCAGAGAUAUACUGUUGUGUGCAGUAUUAUGACUGGUGGCUAUCACCAGACCCAGUGCAUUGCCCCAGGUGCAGGCUACUGUAUGUAGUGGACUGUGGCAGUGGUUGCAGUGCCCCAAGAUGGAGGCAACUGGAGGAGCCUCACAUUGGCAGAUGGGGGUCCACACGGAAGUGGUGGCUGGAGUUCCUGAGCAUGGGCUGUGGCCAGGUGUCCCAGGUGAGAGCAGUGGCUGGGAUUCCUGUGCUGUGGACAGCCAGGAGUCCUGAGCGGAUGCUCAUGCCAGUAGUCCUACUCAGGUACCUGGAGGACCUGAAUGGACAAGUGGCCAGGAGUCCUGAACUGACACCAAGGCCUAGAGACCUGUGUUGCAUAGUAGCCAUGAUUCCUGCACAGGAGCAGCUGUCAAGGGUUCUCUAAACAGAGAAACAGUAUUCCCACUACUUAAAUCCCAGGUCCCAGAGCACCCAGAAUAUAGCCUCACUGUAGCCCCCCAUCUUGGAUCACCUCAAUAAAAUGUGGUAUUCUUGAAAUUGUCAAAAAUUAAAUUCUUAGCCAGACUCCAUCUCCAUUAAUGUUUGCAAAUGGAAUAGUGGAGGGUACUAAGUAGUGGGCUCAUGCUCAUAUUAAAAUUUAUAUUCUCAGGCUGGGGUUGUGGCUCAAUGGUAGAUCCCUUGCCUAGCAUGGGUGAGACAUAGGUUGUGAUCCUCAUCACCACAUAUAAAUAAAUAAAACAAAGGUAUUGUGUCCAUCUACAACUAAUUUUUUUGAUUUUAUAUUCCCUCACUUUAUGCAUAGUUUAGUUUUUUUUUAACCUUAGAGUAUGGAAAUGCUUGAGAAUUCUGGAGCAACUCUCCAUACACACGUGUGUGAUCUCACAUACACAUACACAAGUAUCCUACAGUGGGAAAAAAUCUUCCUUCUAGAGGAAAAAGCAUAGGACUUUGGAAAAGAUACAUCUGGAUUCAAACCCUGACCUUCUCACUUGCUAACUAUGUUCAUACUCUUAAUGUCACUGAAUCUCAGGGCUAACAAUACUGUUCUCGUUCUGUUAUUUUGAGGAUUAUGGAGACAUGUAUAUUAAGUAACUUUCCUAAAGGAUUUACACAAUAAAUACUUGUCAUUUCUCUCCUGGAGGAAAAGGGGAGCCCACUGAUACCUGUAGUGCCAUCACUAAUACUUUCUCCAUGGCUCUAGUGACAUUUAAUCUGAUAAUAUCUUAGAAAGCACUUGACCUUUUAAUAGAAAACAAUUCUAAA